This 71-nucleotide transfer RNA is filed under the name Pangasius djambal. Its description in RNAcentral is "tRNA-Glu". The record is from RNAcentral. Lineage: Eukaryota; Metazoa; Chordata; Actinopteri; Siluriformes; Pangasiidae.
UUCCUAGAGGACUAGUGGUUAGGCUUCGGCGCUCUCAUUGCCGCGGCCGGGUUUGAUUCCUGGCCAGGGAA